CGUGUAGGCGGUCGAGUAAGUCAGAUGUGAAAGCCUUCCGCUUAACGGAAGAAGUGCAUUUGAAACUGCUCGGCUGGAGUACGGGAGAGGAGAGUGGAAUUCCCGGUGUAGAGGUGAAAUUCGUAGAUAUCGGGAGGAACACCAGUGGCGAAGGCGGCUCUCUGGUCCGAUACUGACGCUGAGACGCGAAAGCGUGGGGAGCAAACAGGAUUAGAUACCCUGGUAGUCCACGCCGUAAACGAUGGGCACUAGGUGUAGGAGGUAUUGACCCCUUCUGUGCCGAAGCUAACGCAUUAAGUGCCCCGCCUGGGGAGUACGGCCGCAAGGCUAAA
RNAcentral lists this ribosomal RNA (332 nucleotides) under uncultured bacterium. Its description in RNAcentral is "bacterial SSU rRNA". It matches the Rfam family "Bacterial small subunit ribosomal RNA", at positions 568 to 898 of the family's 1533-position model. The record is from RNAcentral.